RNAcentral lists this ribosomal RNA (430 nucleotides) under uncultured bacterium. RNAcentral describes it as "bacterial SSU rRNA". It matches the Rfam family "Archaeal small subunit ribosomal RNA", at positions 339 to 776 of the family's 1478-position model. The record is from RNAcentral.
GCGAGAAAACUUUGCAAUGUGCGAAAGCACGACAAGGUUAAUCCGAGUGGUUUCUGCUAAAGAAACCUUUUGUCAGUCCUAGAAACACUAACGAAUAAGGGGUGGGCAAGUUCUGGUGUCAGCCGCCGCGGUAAAACCAGCACCUCAAGUGGUCAGGAUGAUUAUUGGGCCUAAAGCAUCCGUAGCUCGUUUUGUAAGUUUUCGGUUAAAUCCAUGCGCUUAACGUAUGGGCUGCCGGGAAUACUGCAUAACUAGGAAGUGGGAGAGGUAGACGGUACUCGGUAGGAAGGGGUAAAAUCCUUUGAUCUAUUGAUGACCACCUGUGGCGAAGGCGGUCUACCAGAACACGUUCGACGGUGAGGGAUGAAAGCUGGGGGAGCAAACCGGAUUAGAUACCCCAGUAGUCCCUGAGCGGGCUGGCAAGGCGCAU